AGCAAUCCUUGAGUAAAGUGGCGUACGGGUGAGUAACACGUGGAUAACCUGCCCUCUAGUGGGGAAUACCGUUGGGAAACCGACGACAAUACCGCAUAAGCUCGAGAGAGGAAAGCAGCAAUGCGCUGGAGGAGGGGUCCGCGGCCGAUUAGCUUGUUGGUAGGGUAAUGGCCUACCAAGGCUUUGAUCGGUAGCCGGCCUGAGAGGGCACACGGCCACACUGGCACUGAAACACGGGCCAGACUCCUACGGGAGGCAGCAGUGGGGAAUCUUGCACAAUGGGGGAAACCCUGAUGCAGCGACGCCGCGUGAGCGAUGAAGCCCUUCGGGGUGUAAAGCUCUUUCGGCAGGGAAGAUUAUGACGGUACCUGCAGAAGCAGCUGCGGCUAACUACGUGCCAGCAGCCGCGGUAAUACGUAGGCAGCAAGCGUUGUUCGGAGUUACUGGGCGUAAAGGGUGCGCAGGCGGUCCUGUAAGUAUGGUGUGAAAUCUCCCGGCUUAACUGGGAGGGUGCGCUAUAAACUGCGGGACUAGAGUGUGGGAGAGGAAAGUGGAAUUCCUGGUGUAGCGGUGAAAUGCGUAGAUAUCAGGAGGAACACCGGUGGUGUAAACGGCUUUCUGGACCAUAACUGACGCUGAGGCACGAAAGCGUGGGUAGCAAACAGGAUUAGAUACCCUGGUAGUCCACGCCCUAAACGAUGCAUAUUUGGUGUGGGUCAUUCAGUUGAUCCGUGCCGGAGCUAACGCGUUAAAUAUGCCGCCUGGGGAGUACAGUCGCAAGGCUGAAACUCAAAGGAAUUGAC
Molecule: ribosomal RNA, 803 nt
Filed under: uncultured Actinomycetes bacterium
Lineage: Bacteria; Bacillati; Actinomycetota; Actinomycetes
Description: bacterial SSU rRNA
Rfam family: Bacterial small subunit ribosomal RNA
Source: RNAcentral